UUCAGACAAAUUAAAAAAUCUUUGUUUUCUGUUUCAGUCUGGAUUUGGGGUGAAAUACCUGUACCAUCACUUCUACCUGAAACCUACCAGGUGUGCCAAAGGAACAACUGAGUCAAAUUCUCAGACAUGUCCCUUCAGGAACGACAGACCACUGAUGGACUGUGCAGUUUGUUAUAAAACAGCAGCAGACCAGAUAGAGUCCAAUCCCAAACCAUACGUUCACUGCAUCCAGAAACCAAGACUCACUGAGCAAAUGAGGACCUCCAGAACUGAUCACUGCUCAAAAAUGAGUUACAACAGUGGUGCUCCAACUAUUCUGGCAGGGUCUAUCGCUUAAAGACGUGCAUUGGGCCAGUGUGCAUGCCUUUACCUCAUGCUCAAACUUGUCCAAGGAGGAGCAUGGCCAACAGAUGCCCUUCGCAUGCUGUUGUUUUGUAUUGAAAAAAUUUUACGUAUCAUUACUAGCAGAUGCAGGAACUCUGUUCCUGCAUCUGAACUGCUUCACUUAAUAGAUAAACAAGAGAAAAUGGCACAUGUGCAUGUAUCUGUCAACAAUGAAGCCUUCAGUUAAAUCACCUUUAAGAGUCGGUCUUCUAUGAUGUGGUUUUGUUUUUGGUAAAUGUGAGACUAUGUACUAAAUAAAAAGACAAACGAGAAGACCCAGAUUUGAUUUAUUGUGGUGGUGUAUGUGAAACAAUGAAUACAAUUAUAGUUUGUUAAAGGGAUGGAAUGAGAAAGACUACAAAGUAAUAAAUGAAAUCAUCUGCAGCAA
Molecule: long non-coding RNA, 772 nt
Organism: Sphaeramia orbicularis (orbiculate cardinalfish)
Lineage: Eukaryota; Metazoa; Chordata; Actinopteri; Kurtiformes; Apogonidae
Exons: 3
Source: RefSeq, a predicted model, not a curated record